GUUCAUUGGUAUUAGAGUCUUUCUUAAGCAUGAAAUUUGGAAUUCAAAUGUGAAUCAAAAUCUAAUAAAAAAAAGGAUAGUAAAUUGCUAUAAACAUACUCAAACUCUUUCAAGUAAAUAAUAUGCCUUCAACUAAGCCAACCACUCUGAUGAACAGUUCCAUCUAUAAUAAGUAUUUUUUAACUCUUCGGGUUCUACAAGCAAGGAAAUUAAGUUUUCGUUUUCCUUCCAACAUUUAUAUGCUAAUAUGUGUUGAGCAAUCUAAAAGCAAUAGAAUUGCCCUUCAGAAAUUUUCCAUCUAAUCAUGAAUCGGCGUGAAGAAUUACUUCUAAUCAUUCAUGGAAGCAACGGUGGUGGUGGUGGUGGUGACUGUUUUAGAAUCUCCGUCCCCAGUGACGGCUUUCUUCGUCCUGGUUUCAGAUCUUAUUUCUUUCAAUGGUACAAUACCGUUUCCAGGUGAAGUCAUAUCAUUGAUCUCUGUGGCUUUGGCCUCCUCCCUGAAUUUCUUGUAGAUGUCACCUUUAUAGAAUUUUCUGGUCCUGAGCACUAAAAUGAAGGAAAUUAAGGACCCAAAUAAUGUUGCUGCAGUGAUUAUGAGGAAAGCCAUUCUAUAACAGUGCACACCAUUGCAUGUCAAGUCUUGCCCUGCUUCCCUUCUAAGCCCCGAGGCCUCCAUUUGCUUCAAUGCCUCUUUAUCGUAUAAAUGGCCGGCCACUCUCACAUUGAGGACGUACGAGCCAACUGGGCUAGCAACAGAACCAAAAUUGUACAAGGUUGAAUAGUACUUCAGGCCAAAAAUUUCAGAUAUCAUUGCAAACAUCAAUGGCCAUUGUGCUCCGAAGCAGAAACCGAUGAUCACAGAAGCGAAGUAGAGGGAAUUUGGAACGCCAAAAGCAAUUAGAAGAUGCCCAAGACAAGAGAAGAGAAGCACAAAUGUAAACAAUAGAGGACGAGGGAUCUUGUACUUUGUCAGCAAGAUUUCAGAGGCAAAACCAGCCACUGCUCGACCAAGGUAGUUCCAAAUACUAACAAGUGACACAAAGGUUGUGAUGCUACGAGUUGGAUAGCCGAGAGAGUUCCCAAUCUGACCCAAGUUAUCUAUUGCUGUCAACGUGCCACCAACGCCACAAGUUAUGGCGACAAAUAUUAUCAGCAUAUCCACACUAAAAAGUGCUUGUAAUAUGGUGAAGUCUUCACCUCUGUCUGGUGGUUUGAAAAUGUUGUCCAUGCAAGAAGCUUGCUUCUCUGUUGGCGUUGGAAUUCCAGGUGGUGGGGCUGAUGGCUCUAGUGCUGGUGUCGAUGUUGACAAUUCCAGCGCUGGAGGAUUUUCAGUCACGACUUUCACUGGAUAUGGGUCGUUCAAGGCUGCCUUCUUGCUGCUCCAGAGAUUAUAUUCUUCUUUUAUAACGAUAGCUAUAGGGAGAAAAAGCAAUACAAGAACAAUAGAAGCGCUUCCAAUGUACUCAAUUCUGGCAAAGCUGAACUUGUUUUGUAUGAUAAUCAAAACCAUGAGAAAACCAGCAAGACCAAGUGAAAUAUACAGGAGUUUGUAGAAAACUUUGACCUCAUUGGGUUGGCGAACGAUCUUAAUUAUCCGAAUGGUACGAAGAAAAAUGAAAGAAACAGCAGCAGGAAGCCAAGCAAUAAGCAAGAUAAGAGCCUUGGAGUUAUCUCCAUAAAAAGCAUGGUAGAGUUGAGUCAAAAUAGCUCCACUCAAACCAACAAAUCCCUUUAACAAGCCCAAAACAUUACCUCUGCUUUCCGGGAAGUUCUUGACACAGGUGACUAGAGCUCCAGUAUUGGCAAAAGUUUGAGAAUUUGCUCCAAUACAUAUAUAAAGACACAUCUGCCAAACUUUUGGCUUGGCAAUCUGGCCAGUAACAGCAAGCCAAAUCAUGAAGUAUCCAAGGAAAUUCAUGAUUACUCCCAUGGAAAGAACAACCCAAGGUGGGGUGACUUCAUUGAUGAGCCCUGACAAGACUCCAACAUUACCACCCAAGUCCUUGAAGAAGCUAAGCAAAUUGAGAGUGGUUUGAUCAUAGCCUAAUGACGUUUUAAUGUCAUUAGAGUAUAGACUAAACAUAUAAGUUGCACCAGCCACUGACAUGAUCAAGAGAGAGGCAAAGACCAUGAACCACCGGCCUAGAAUCACUUUGAACAAGAAACCUUUCAUCUCUCUCCACCCACCACCACCGACAUAAGCAGCCACCAUUUUUAAUUACCUAGCUCUAGAAAUGAUUGAGUAAUGCUUAAUGAUUGAGGGAUUUAAUACUCGAUAGCUUAUAUAUAGAGGAGUUCUGGCGCUAGAAAGUGAGGUGUGAAUAAGGAGUACCCCAAGGAAUCGGAAUUAGGCAGCGAGUAGAACAAGUGCUUUAGCACUGCAUUCUUG
RNAcentral lists this unclassified non-coding RNA (2389 nucleotides) under Hevea brasiliensis (rubber tree). The record is from RNAcentral. Lineage: Eukaryota; Viridiplantae; Streptophyta; Magnoliopsida; Malpighiales; Euphorbiaceae.